Molecule: transfer RNA, 72 nt
Filed under: Monotropa uniflora (ghost pipe)
Lineage: Eukaryota; Viridiplantae; Streptophyta; Magnoliopsida; Ericales; Ericaceae
Description: tRNA-Met
Source: RNAcentral
ACCUAAUUAACUCAGUGGUUAGAGUAUCGCUUUCAUACGUUGGAUGCCGUUGGUUCAAAUUUCAUAUUAGGU